This 425-nucleotide ribosomal RNA is filed under the name uncultured bacterium. RNAcentral describes it as "bacterial SSU rRNA". It matches the Rfam family "Bacterial small subunit ribosomal RNA", at positions 917 to 1345 of the family's 1533-position model. The record is from RNAcentral.
GGGCCCGCACAAGCGGUGGAGCAUGUGGUUUAAUUCGAUGAUACGCGAGGAACCUUACCAGGGCUUAAAUGUAAGUUGCAUGGAUCAGAGAUGGUCCUUUCUUCGGACUACUUACAAGGUGCUGCAUGGUUGUCGUCAGCUCGUGCCGUGAGGUGUCAGGUUAAGUCCUAUAACGAGCGCAACCCCUAUCGUUAGUUGCCAACAGGUAAAGCUGGGAACUCUAACGAGACUGCCGGUGCAAACCGUGAGGAAGGUGGGGAUGACGUCAAAUCAUCACGGCCCUUACGUCCUGGGCUACACACGUGCUACAAUGGCCGGUACAGAGAGCAGCCACUACGCGAGUAGGAGCGAAUCUAUAAAACCGGUCUCAGUUCGGAUCGCAGUCUGCAACUCGACUGCGUGAAGCUGGAAUCGCUAGUAAUCGG